This is a long non-coding RNA of Passer domesticus (house sparrow), 9213 nucleotides long. RefSeq lists it as uncharacterized. The transcript has 3 exons. Lineage: Eukaryota; Metazoa; Chordata; Aves; Passeriformes; Passeridae. The record is from RefSeq and is a predicted model, not a curated record.
UGCGGGAGCAGCCGCGGCCCCGGCCGGCAUUCCUCGUCGGAAGGGAAGGGGAGCGACAUUUGAACUCGUCAAGCGGGCUGUGUGCCCUCGGUGUAGAGUUAAAUAAUGCACUAGCUAGAGUUACCUUGCACCAGAGGUUAAGGGAAGAGCGCCGAACGGUUUUUAGCUUGAAUUUUAGCCAGUACGGCUUAAACCUUUCCCUGGCUGUCAGCGGUUACAGGAAAACAGCUUCAAUUAAUAAAGGUUAAGAUUGACCACUUCUAGUUCUUGAGGCAGCGUGACAGAUCAUGCUUGAAACGCUUAUUGUUAAAGGAAAUGUAAUGUAUAAUUUGUGUUUGUUGAAGGAAGUGAAGGAAAUAGGUAUGGGCAGUGCUGGUGAAUAAACUCCUUUCACAUACUGAGGACAACACAGCACUGUGCAUGCACAAACAGAUGGCCCCAAACACAGAAUUUCUAUUAUCAAUCCAUAUGUUGUUGAAUGAGCCAUCGCUCUGGAUAAAUUUUUGCUACAAAGUUCCUACUGAACUCAGCAUGCACUGUCUCUUCUUUUAUACCACUGAGCCAAAAAUAAAUUAUAUUCUCUGACUUCCCUACCUCUCCAGUUCUGCUAUUUGUGUCCCUCAAAAUCCCUAUCAGAUGAUUAAAAAUUGAUUCAGAUUUGAUUUGGGAAGGAAUGGCUACCUGCUGUGCCCUGACUGAAGCUGGGAAGCUCUGCUCAGCACUACAGUGCAUGUGUCCUUAUGAAGGCACAGGAAAAUAAUCCUUUUGGGGACAGUCCAGCAGAAGUACCCAGCUUCCAACCCCAGAGCCAACAUAGCCAAGAGUUAUUUUACCAGCUGAGAAAUCAGCCAGGUCAUUUCAAGGCAGAAAUUCAAGCACCUUGGAGCAAUCACUGGUUUUGAAGAGACUGCUUCUAUCAUUUAUGGUGGUACGGUAAUAUUAUAUGGGAAAAUGUGAAAUUGUGAGAGGAGUGCAGAUCAGAAUAAAGCCAAAUCGCUACAGGGUUUGAGCAGCAAUUGGCUGUAAAAUUAAUAUGGAGCAACAGUUGGAUGUUGCAAGGUUGAGCAUUAAUCCAGUGCCUGGUAGAAAAAUAAUGUAUUUAUCUAAAUUUCUGCUUCACAGUGAUUGCACUGUGUGAGCUAUUAAACAAAGCAAAAUAAAAAACCAAUUCUAAGUCCACAGAAUAUGUUUGAUGAAUAUGACAUCUUCACUCAGCUUGGAUGAAAAUGAAGUCCUGCAUGGAUGGGAACAGUGAUUAUAGCUCCGUUCCAAAUCGUUUUACAGUAGAACUUCAAUCUGGGGAGGAAAGUUGCCUUUUUAUCAAAAUUAUUUUUAUUGAGAGAAGCAGAAAUGUGUGUUGCAUAUACAUGUCUUCUUGCAUAGUGUACAUUCUGAUACAGUUAAUUCAGCCAAUUUUCUGGUAUUGUUCUCAAGAUCUGUGCCAUGGAUAUUAGAGUCCUCCAUAUGGGUACAUUUUUCCUCUGAUUUUUUCCAUUUCUUCUUCUGUAAUAACGGUAUACAUUCAACUAUUUUAAUUUAAAUUUAGGAUCAUUAAGGCUCUUCUGGAGAGUCUGGAGCUCUGCCACAGUUAGGUAGUUAGGUAUUUUAUUGUAGAAGGAGUUGCAUGUAGCUCUUAUAUUUUUAUAUUUUACCUCAAGCAUAAAAAGAGAUUAAAACUAUCUAGUUUUUAGAACUCUUACUUUGAUAUCCAAUUUAUGCAUAAAUUUUAGCUUAUUACAAGAGCUGUUGAUUUUUAGCAAGCCUUCAACUCUUGAGUGUAAAAUUUGGGGGCUGAAGCAGGCCACUUCUUCAACAUGCAUGUAUAUGUGCUGUGUUUAGAUUUGGGAAGAAUAACAUGGAAUAGUUUGAACAUCAUUUUUUCCUGGAAUAUCAAGCUAGCAUGUACUGCUGUGGUAUUGAAAAAGUUGCUGAUUAUGAUGCCAAAAGACUGUCUUACUAGGAAGUUUGAAAUAAUUUCUGAAAGAUGAAAAAACAUUCUGCCCCUCCUGGAAAUUUGUAUAUGGCAAGACUUUAGUAUCUGCACCUCGAUGGUCAUCGAUUGAUUUCUGUCAUUGAUUUCAUGGGAUGAGAGAUUUGGUCUAUUAACAGUACUGUCAGAAAGCAGGCAAUAAAAUUUCAUUUUUCCAGAGUCUUAAAAAAAAUGUAGGUUCUGUGACAUUGUAAAAUGUUUAGAAUUUAGUUAUUAAUGACAUUUUUCUUCUGAGAUUUCAGUGUGAAUGGCUUGUGAUCUGUUAGGAUUUUGGUAAAGCCUUUCAUGCUGGAAAUAAGGAUGUCAAAGCUUUCAGAUUCUGUGAACAUGCUGCACUGCACACACAGACAUGCUGUACUCAGCUCUUGAGUCUGCAAAACAGGAAUGGUGAGUGUGGAAGGAUUUCUGAACCCUUCCACUUCUUCUUGGAGCUUGGGGGUGCCUGUGUGGCUGCAGGGCCCUAAGGCACUCUCCCAAGGCUCCUCAUGGAGCCCCAGUCCCUGUCCAGUGGGAUUUCCUUCUAUGAAACAGGCUGAAGCUUUGCACAGCCAGGCAGGGACUCUGGAGCAUGCAGGAACCCAGGUCCUCUGUAACUCACCACUUUACUGGACAACUCCACAAGGUCACGGGCAAUUGCCGAGCACCCACGAGCCCAGGACAUGAGUGAGAUCCAUCCCGGAAGCAGCCAGAGGUGUCAGUAAGUGAUAGGUGUGCUCAGGGUACCUGGACUGCCUCAAGGAACCGUGUACAGAUUUGUCUUUUAGUGGGGUUAAAAGAAACUGAAGGUAGAAAUUGAGAGUUCGAUGUACUCACAGAAACCAGAGCUUUGGUCUUAGCACAGUGACAGGAGCAAAACAAUGGAGCCAAGUGAAUUCAGAUUUUACAGUCAGUAAAGCAGAGCUUUUCUGAAUGACUUUUGAUGAUUUGGAUUGCCUGAAUUCCACUUUUGGUACCUUGUGUACAUCCUGAGUGUAUAAUCUGUCUUCCAACAAAAAUGUAGGUUACAUGUCAAAGAAAUUUAGAAAAUAGCUGGAUUUCCAUUAUAGUAUGGAAGUAGUAGUAUGAUGUAGUUUGUAGUAUGUAGUAUUUCUGAUUACUAAAGUAAAAAAAAAAAUCCUGUAAUUUUCUAGUCACCUAUGUAGCUAACACCUCUGGUGGAAUGGAGCAUACCUCUUCCAGUUACAUAAAACAGGCACUCCCAAAUGUAUUGUUUUAAAAAUUUGUGAUUAACUAGUGGGGGAAUUGAAUAAUUUUCCAAUAAAAUAUGGUGAAUAUACAAAAUAAAUAGCAGUCCUAAGGAGCAAAUUGUAAUUGUCCUUGGCACUGAACUACAGUAGCAUCAAGGAAUGGGAAUAUUUAAGCUGACAAAACUAUACUACAAAAAUUUGUGAAGUUAUAUGCUUUCUUGUUCUCAUUGUUCCAUUUCACAUAUGCCUUUGCCCAUCUUAAUAGAAGGAUGCCUUCCAUACAAAAUUCAUUUUUUCAUGUAAUGAAAAUGUAAUGAUGCAUAAGAUCCACAAUACAAACCAUCACGCUUUAUUUUGUGUGUAAGCAGGAGAGUAACUCUUCAUUUCAAGAAGUAUCUUCCCAUAAAGUGUCCUUUUCAACUUUUGUUGAAACUGUUAUCCUUUUCAACUUUUACCAACAGAACAGUGUAGUCCUUUUAUUCCUUUUAGCUGUACUGUUAAGAUUUUGUUUUGCACCUUAAGACUAUGGGAAAACACAGUUACUGAAUCUCUAACUUUGCAUAUGGCCAGUAAAAGCUUACAAGUAUUCACAUUAUUGCUUUAAUAGAGACUUCUUCAGUAACUGCUCAGUGAUGCAAUAACAUUUCCAUUUAAAAAGAUAAAGAUAAGGAUAGAAUUGCUAAACAGUAACUUUACUACUUCUCAGGUUAGCAGAUGUAUCUGAAACUCAGCAACUGCUCACAAAUACUGGACCUGUAUUUAACUAGAAAUAUGCUCUUAUUUUAAAUAGAGGAAAGGACAAGUUUAAGAAGGACAAACCCCAUCAAGCUGUUCUUCAACACAGAAAUUGAAGUCACGAAGAUUUAUCUUUGUAAUCCCUGCCUCCACUUUGCUUGCCUGCCUCGUUGGGAUGUAGGCUGCCUGCUUUCUCAGUGUUCAGCACAGCUCCCACUGCCUACAGUUUGCAGUGGCACUUCUACAAAUUACACUCCUCCAUACCAAGCACCACGAAAAACAGAAUUAACAACCCCGUGUGCAAAGUGACUCGUAUCACACAGGAAAUCUGUGGCAAAGGCAGGGAUAUGACUUGGUUCCCCAGAGAUGCACUCAUGCCUUAAUCAUGAAAACGUGUUCUCUUCCCUGCAGUUGUCUGCUUCAUUCACUGUGUCCUUCCAACAGCUGCCACAGAGUACAGGUUGUGCAGAGCACAUUCACUGCUACUAUGCCGAGAUUCGUCCCCAGCCCGGGUCCUCUCUGCGCGCUACACGACACAGGAGGCCACGAACGCUCCCUCUGCCCCAAGGGAUCUCACACCGUUCCCUCUGCCUCACCACCAGCACAAUCCACCAGAGACCUUCUCCUUUUUUCUGCCUCUUAUGCCACCAGGAGAGUUGGGUGCAUGGGAGCGAUGGGAUUCCCGAUCCAAUUCCUGCAUGUAAUCAGGCCCGACUGCAGCUGCAGUGAGCGGCAGGAUCAGGGAAAACUGUUUUGAACGCCAGUAGCCCCAGGGCUGGAGCGUGCCCAGAUGUUUCAUGGAAUGGCUCUGGCAGACCAGUCACACACAGGUGUUUAUUGGCUUGAAGUAAAAGUCAGGAAUACCAGGAAUAAUUCAUCCACCACUUGGCUCUUCAAGCAGACCAGGAACGAGCACAACGUGCAAAUGGAAACGGCAGAUAACGGCGGCUCUGAGCUGACACACACACACUGCACCCACGGAGCUGCUUGCAGGGUGAACUCUUUGUUUUCCUGGAACGAACUCAUUUUAGUUAUGAAAACUGAUUAUGCAUAUUGUGAAAGGCAUGCAGCCAAGCAACUGUAAAACUUUGUUUUUCACUAAUAUCUAUCAAUUUUAGGAACAAAACAUGCUGCUGCUAAAUGCAAGCACAAGUCGGCUUAGAAAUGUGAUUUGCUGUUUACUUUCUCUUCAUGUUUAAAAGCUAUUCCAAAGCAAAACAGACCUAACCAGAUCAGAAGUAGCAUUGUGUACUUAGCCUAAAUAUACUGAUUUUCACACUAAAAUGACUUUGAGGAGCAAAGACUUGCUGCAUGUGGCAAAUCAAAGGAGAAAUGCAUGAAACUUUCCCUGAGAGGUUUGCUACUCCGCACGGCAGAAGCUCUGCUCAGCCUCUCCGUGACCUGGGCUCUGCACGAUUUAUUGGUUAUCUUUAAUAAAGCGAAAUCCAAGCGCCUUUUCUGUUUUGUUACUUCCAUUUUAACACCAGCAGUAGCAGACAGACAGACAAAGUUUAGUUUUAGCCUGGGAGCGAAAAUAAAUACUUCUAACAUACAUAUGUGCUGUUACAGUCUGACUUAUAAAUGCUCAGUAGUAAAGUCAGCAGGAAUUGAGCACUAAAACUGGAGAAGAGUAAAUGGAAAGAGAUCCUGCUGUAUUUGCAGACUUGUGGUAAUAAGGAAAGCACUCCUGACUGCUCUUGGAAACUUGUCAUGUAAGUGAAUAAGGGGAGAGGUCAGGCAGUGACAGACUGCUCUGCCAGCCUGAAAUGGGGGGUUGCAUCAAAUCUAAGAAACCAAAAACAUGCAUUUAACUUAAAAUGAAUGUUAUUAAAACAAAUUAUACCCAUCAUUCAGAAAUGUAAUGUGAAAGUACCGUAACUCCUGGCUUCUGUUCAGAUGAUGUCUGGCUGUGUAUCAUCCACAAAGUAUCUUCCUGAAUCCCCGGCACCCUGGCUUCAGGAACUGCUCUAAAUCUUACCAAAUUCUGAUGAUUCUGAUGUCAUUUUCUAAGCUUAAAGUAUUCUUGCAAGUGACAUCAAUCAUGACUCAACCUGGCCUCUCCUGCCAUUAUGACAAAGGCUUCUAUUUUUAAUUUUUCAGACAAAUACAGCUUGUAUAACUUUUUUUUCUUUUUUUUGCCAAAAAUAUGUCAGUUCAAAUCUUGCUAUUCCAAGCAUAUUCUGUUCUUUUGGGAUACUUGUCAGCUGGCCUAUUUAUAUCAGGUUUGUAAGAAAUUAUAUGUUUUUCUAGAAGCAAAAUAGCAAACUUGGAGAACAGAGCUUCCACCUUGCAUUAUUAAUAGAAUUUGUGAAAAUCUGUGGUUAUAUUGUCAAGAAGCAUAGAGACUAAUUGCGCAGAGCCAACAAUUCACUCAGCGUGGUGGUUAAAAUGCAUAAAUGGAUAAAAAUGAUUUGUGUUAGUGCCUGCAGCCUCUUGUAAAUGUCAAAUACUUUCUUGACAUUCUAAAACCCAGGCUGUACAGCGAAAGGGGGAGAGCAGCAUUUCAUAUUAAUUUGAAAAUGUAUAAAACUGAUUAUCCCCUUCUAGCACUCAGUAUUUCACUGCUUCAUGAAGACCUUAGAUGCUGAUUGUAACUGGCUAUACUCUUUCAACUCAUCAUGGCUCUCAUUUUUCUUCCAGCAGAGCAAUGAAUAUUUUACUUGAGAUAAAUAAAUAAGGUUUUACUUCCUGUGAAAGAAGAUAUUUAAAGAGAUUCCACACAACCAGUUUUCCCAGUUGGAGAAAGUUGUAAAUGUUCAUUUCCUCUAUUUCCCGUGCAUGGCAGUCUUGUCAUUCCUGUGAACUUACUGUUCUUCUUUUGUAAAUCCCCAUCCCAUGCAUUUAUCUCCAUGUAUGUCAGUACUGUCAUUUCAGCUUUAUACCGUUCACUUUAAUCAUCUCACAAGGUUCAAAGGACACCUGGACAUAUCCUCAUCCCCAUUUUAGUCUUACAACAUUCACUAAAAGUUCCAGGAUAAAGGAUUUAUGAUAUUUCCUUGGAUCAAAACAUUUGUGUCCUUACCAUACAUCCAUCAGACUUUACUUUUUAUACUCUGCUAAAGUAGAAUGAUGCACAGGUAUAAUUGAACUGACAGAAGUGUUUGUAUUUUUCUAGAACAGAUCACUUGUAUUUUGUACAACUGACACUUUACUCAUCGUUCUCAUUAGUACCCACAUUUAUUUCCAAAGAAUUGUGAAAUGAAAUCAUCAAAAAGCUACCAGCUGCAUAAGUCUUCUGAAGUCUCUGAGUCUGUCUUACACAUUACAAAAACAUGCAAGGCUGAGGGCUUAGAGAUAGUCCAAAAAAAAAAAAAAGAAUUGAAAAGGAAUAUCCAGGUGGUUUUUUAACUGCAAGAUACAAUAAAGUAGAGUUUGGAAAGUAUUACACAGAAACAUAAUAACAAAAACCCCCAAGAUACACCAUUUACAAGUCGAGCUGUACAGUGCUGUGCCUUUGUGUGAGCUGAAAUCAGUAAAGCAGACAGAGCUCACUCCACAGGGUUUGUGAACUUGUGACAGCUCCGAAUGUACAAACGUACAACUGGCAGCCUACAGGCUGCUGAGCAACUAGAAAAUCUUUCACAGCUUAAGGUUAACUAAGGUUAAUUAUUCCAAAACACUCUUUUGUAGAUUUCAGUAAUAAUUGCCUUCAGUAACAGUAAUGAAUUGCUGCCUCCAUUUUGAAUGCACUUGGGAAAUUACUUAAAAACAUGUACAAGAUUUAUCAUGAACACACUGUAGGUGUAAAAGAAAUGAAAUGCUGAAAAGACAGCUGAGCAGCAAAGGGCAGGGCCAUCUAAUGCAGUCCCACAAUUUCCAUUAAAUAAUUUAGACAAAAAGUCAAUAGAUUUAUCAGCCGCACGUAUUUACGACCACGUUUGAUGGGACUCUGAUGCAUUUGUAUUGAAGUUUGCUCCCAGAUACUCAUCUCAGAUACUAAUCCAAAGAUAAUAACCAGACAACUCUCAUACAUUUGAUUACUUGCUGAAAUAUUUAUCAUCUUUCCUGAUUGCAUCUUAUCUCAAAGCCAGACCCAGAGCCCAGAGAAGUAAUCAGCUUGAUUCCAGGGUAAGAGCUGCCAGCCUCAUUGUGAGGAGUGUUACAGAAGUCAAAGGGACCACACAUGAAAUGAGGCACUAAGGUUCAACUGUAAAAGUCUGCAAGACCUGGCAUUAGAUUACAAGGUCUUGAGAGCAAAGGCAUUCCUGAUUUCCCAGGCAUGGAAAGACAAGAGGUGAAACUCUGAUACUGUUAAAAUAAAAAUAAAACUUUUCUAAUGUCACUAGCACUGCAUGUUUAUUGUGUUCAUCCACUGCCAUCUCAUCUGUGCCACGCUGUUAAACUGCAGGAACAAGCCUGUGAGCAUCUGUGGUACAGAUGAAAGUCAUUUGAGGCUAACUACAGGAGGAGUUCCUACUAUCACUCCUUUAGGGAUUGAAGUGGUGUCAGCUCUCUGCUGAUAUUUCACCCUUGUCCCAAGCACAUGAUAGAGAAAGCAGCAGCAGCCAUUAGGUACUCACAGUGAAACAAUCCAGACUAAGCACUUUCCAAUAGCACAAAAUGAGGCAAUUUACCAGGAAGAGAGGGAGUUGCAUUAGCAUGAAAAAUUCUAAGUUAUUCACAAGAUGCUAAAAGAGAAGAAAGAAUCAUCAAUCCUGACCACUGGAACCGUGAGGACCCAUAAGGAUUUUACAUGACGCUCAUGAGCCCAAGCCAAGUUACCACUGCUGUAAGUGGAGCUGAGAGGGGAGCAGAGCAGUAGCACUGGCUCCCUGCAGAGCUCCCUCAGAUUUGGAAUCUGGCCUCUUGUGUCUUCCACUUACACUUUGUGACAGACAAAUUAGUGUACUGGGAGUGACCCAGGAGUUCCUGCAGAAAAUCUGAGCAUGAGUAUCUCACUGGGGGUACUUAAAGGUGAUUGCAGGGACAAUAACAACAAAUGUAUAAAUGCACCACAUUCUGCCAAUACCAAGAAGAGUUAACACCAGACACCACCACCCCUCUGGUACAAAAUAGGUAAAUAUAAGGAGGUUCAGGAUUAAAAGUGCAACCAUCUUGUCAGCAACCACACCUGUCUUGGCACUUGUUGGGCUCCAGCAGACUCUCUAGUGUAGGCAGGUUUUAAUACCACUUUCAGAAGGUCAUUUCUGGAGACCACAAAUUCAAGAGCUACGUUCAGUGACACCGGGAAGGGGAAGCACAUGCAGAGUCUGCCGUGAGGUAGUCAAGGACCACACACUGGAAAGUGUACCUGACACAGGAGUAAUGCAACAGCUCCCUGCUAAAUGCAGGGAAGUGAAA